UAUCCCCUACGGGAGGCAGCAGUGGGGGAUAUUGCACAAUGGGCGAAAGCCUGAUGCAGCGACGCCGCGUGAGGGAAGACGGUUUUCGGAUUGUAAACCUCUGUCGAGGGGGACGAAGGAAGUGACGGUACCCCUUGAGGAAGCCACGGCUAACUACGUGCGAGCAGCCGCGGUAAUACGUAGGUGGCAAGCGUUGUCCGGAAUUACUGGGUGUAACGGGAGCGUAGGCGGGAAUGCAAGUUGAAUGUAUAAACGGUCGGCUCAACCGGCCGAAGAGUUCAAAACUGCAGUUCUUGAGUGGAGUG
This 305-nucleotide ribosomal RNA is filed under the name uncultured bacterium. RNAcentral describes it as "bacterial SSU rRNA". It matches the Rfam family "Bacterial small subunit ribosomal RNA", at positions 333 to 653 of the family's 1533-position model. The record is from RNAcentral.